Chenopodium quinoa (quinoa) is the source of this 278-nucleotide long non-coding RNA. RefSeq lists it as uncharacterized. The transcript is spliced from 3 exons. The record is from RefSeq and is a predicted model, not a curated record. Lineage: Eukaryota; Viridiplantae; Streptophyta; Magnoliopsida; Caryophyllales; Amaranthaceae.
AAGUUUUGACUCCACCAAGUCUUUCUCUUGGAAUAUUGAAAUCAAAGUGGAUUAUCUGGAGGGAAUAUUACAAGCUUUGCUAAUUGAGCUACUAGCGGGUUUGAUUUUGUUCUUAGUUGAAACUUGCGCGAGCUAGAAGCUGUUCAUUGUGAUUUCUGAGAUGAAUUUAAGCAAUGAUAAGUUAUAGUGCACUUAUAAGGAGCUUUCUAAGUAUAAACUACAGGAGGCUGGAGAUUUCUUACAUUCAGCUCAAAGUAGCGCGGCUUCUAGCAAAAUGA